AAAGAGACUUAAUUUACCCAUAAAGAAGUGGAAUACUGGCAGGCAUAUGGUAGGGGUAGGGAAAAGGAGAACAUUUUUGAUGGAUGGCACACUAUAUACAAAGAUUAGAGGUGAGAAAGAUUAUGGACUGUUGAUGGUAUGUUUUCUUGCAGCCAGAGAACAAGCUAGGAACAGAGUAAGGAGCCGCUCUAUGAUGAGCUCUGGAUGCCAAGAUGAAAUGAAUUCUCAAAAGAGGGAGGAACUCCAGGGAAAGACAGAGGGAAUGCAACAUUUCGGAGGAGGACAUGCUAAGCUAACUAAGAAUCAGCAAGUAAUACCAACACUCAGUUAUCUGCUGAGGGGGUCUUCAUCACCCAGAUACACAGGAGAGAUACUGGUGAUUUCUGGGAACUCUGGUUGUGUGACUGCAGACUUGACACCACAGGAAGUAAAGAGAACCCGUCCUCUCGUCCUCUGAAUACUGUAAUCUAAUAGAUAAUGAAUGAAAGAAAGUGCCAGAGAGGAGAAGCAGUUUAAAAAUUAUCUAAAAAAAAAACUCGCUUAUGAGAGAUGGAGAAGCUAAGGCCCAAAGGAUUGGAGCAAUGAGGUAACUCACAUUUUUGUGGAGCUGGUUAGUGAUGGAGCCAAAAACCUUUCUAGCUGCUUCUUCUUAGACUCUAUGGUAGCUUAGUGAACUUACUUAGUGAAGUCCCCUCUUUCCCAAACAGGACUGUCUCCUAUAAUUUCUUCCCCUUUCAUCCUGACAACAUUAAAGACUGU
Molecule: long non-coding RNA, 759 nt
Filed under: Vulpes vulpes (red fox)
Lineage: Eukaryota; Metazoa; Chordata; Mammalia; Carnivora; Canidae
Description: lncRNA (ENSVVUG00000021107.1)
Source: RNAcentral